This 304-nucleotide long non-coding RNA is filed under the name Vulpes vulpes (red fox). Its description in RNAcentral is "lncRNA (ENSVVUG00000023244.1)". The record is from RNAcentral. Lineage: Eukaryota; Metazoa; Chordata; Mammalia; Carnivora; Canidae.
CAAAAUUCCCAAACAGACCACAGAAUACUGAAUGUGAAAAUGAAGUGAUUACACAACUACAACCCAGCAGUGCUACAGACGUUGGUUCUCUGUAAAGGAGUGAUCUAAGCUUGGAGGAACCUUAAUAAUUUUGAUGCUGACUUCAUAUCCUGCACCCAUGGUGUACCUUCUCCUCCUGAAAAUACCACAAUACAUAGGGCAAGGACCAUAUGUGUUCACUAUCGGCAACUAGCCCAGCAGCACACAGAAGCUGAAUGAACUCUGGUUGAAUAAAUGAAUGAGAAGUAAGGUAUGUAUUUAAAGA